GCUUCAAUUGAUGGCGACCGGCGCACGGGUGAGUAACGCGUAUCCAACCUUCCGUACACUCAGGGAUAGCCUUUCGAAAGAAAGAUUAAUACCCGAUGGUAUGAUGAGAUUGCAUGAUAGCAUCAUUAAAGAUUUAUCGGUGUACGAUGGGGAUGCGCUCCAUUAGGUAGUAGGCGGGGUAACGGCCCACCUAGCCGACGAUGGAUAGGGGUUCUGAGAGGAAGGUCCCCCACAUUGGAACUGAGACACGGUCCAAACUCCUACGGGAGGCAGCAGUGAGGAAUAUUGGUCAAUGGACGAGAGUCUGAACCAGCCAAGUAGCGUGAAGGAUGAAGGUCCUACGGAUUGUAAACUUCUUUUAUAAGGGAAUAAAACCUCCCACGUGUGGGAGCUUGUAUGUACCUUAUGAAUAAGCAUCGGCUAACUCCGUGUCAGCAGCCGCGGUAAUACGGAGGAUGCGAGCGUUAUCCGGAUUUAUUGGGUUUAAAGGGAGCGCAGACGGGUCGUUAAGUCAGCUGUGAAAGUUUGGGGCUCAACCUUAAAAUUGCAGUUGAUACUGGCGUCCUUGAGUGCGGUUGAGGUGUGCGGAAUUCGUGGUGUAGCGGUGAAAUGCUUAGAUAUCACGAAGAACUCCGAUUGCGAAGGCAGCACACUAAGCCGUAACUGACGUUCAUGCUCGAAAGUGUGGGUAUCAAACAGGAUUAGAUACCCUGGUAGUCCACACGGUAAACGAUGGAUACUCGCUGUUGGCGAUAUACUGUCAGCGGCUUAGCGAAAGCGUUAAGUAUCCCACCUGGGGAGUACGCCGGCA
This 811-nucleotide ribosomal RNA is filed under the name uncultured bacterium. RNAcentral describes it as "bacterial SSU rRNA". It matches the Rfam family "Bacterial small subunit ribosomal RNA", at positions 77 to 890 of the family's 1533-position model. The record is from RNAcentral.